RNAcentral lists this ribosomal RNA (492 nucleotides) under uncultured bacterium. Its description in RNAcentral is "partial 16S ribosomal RNA". It matches the Rfam family "Bacterial small subunit ribosomal RNA", at positions 29 to 507 of the family's 1533-position model. The record is from RNAcentral.
AGUGAACGCUGGCGGUAGGCCUAACACAUGCAAGUCGAACGGCAGCACAGUAAGAGCUUGCUCUUACGGGUGGCGAGUGGCGGACGGGUGAGGAAUACAUCGGAAUCUACUUUUUCGUGGGGGAUAACGUAGGGAAACUUACGCUAAUACCGCAUACGACCUACGGGUGAAAGCAGGGGAUCUUCGGACCUUGCGCGAUUGAAUGAGCCGAUGUCGGAUUAGCUAGUUGGCGGGGUAAAGGCCCACCAAGGCGACGAUCCGUAGCUGGUCUGAGAGGAUGAUCAGCUACACUGGAACUGAGACACGGUCCAGACUCCUACGGGAGGCAGCAGUGGGGAAUAUUGGACAAAGGGCGCAAGCCUGAUCCAACCAUACCGCGUGGGUGAAGAAGGCCUUCGGGUUUUAAAGCCCUUUUGGUGGGAAAGAAAAGCAGCAGGUUAAUACCCCGCUGUUCUGACGGUACCCAAAGAAUAAGCACCGGCUAACUUCGUG